Long non-coding RNA from Salvia miltiorrhiza (redroot sage), 764 nucleotides. RefSeq lists it as uncharacterized. The transcript is spliced from 2 exons. The record is from RefSeq and is a predicted model, not a curated record. NCBI's taxonomy places the organism in Eukaryota, Viridiplantae, Streptophyta, Magnoliopsida, Lamiales, Lamiaceae.
GGGAGGUCCUUGAUUUAAUUAUUUUAAAUGGGCUGCCCAAUUAUUGAUUUAAUUGGAUUGUGGAGAGUUGUUUUAAAAAAAAAAAAAAGCUACACUAUUAUAAUUAAUUAGACUUAUUAGGUUUGAUUAAUUAUUUUAAUUUUCAUAAUAAUAUUAAAUUAUUAUUAUUAUGUGCAUAUUUUAAGUAAUUUCUUAUUAUAUGCCAAGCAUGACAUGAAUUUGCAUUAUAUUUUUGCAAUAAGAGUAUUUAAGAUUUAAUUGGUUUUAUUUAUAAUUCCAAUUAUUAAAGAAAGAUGAGUAAGAAUAUUGUUGGUGUUCUUAACUCAAGAGAAAUGUUUUCAAUUAUUUAUUCAUUAAAUUUUGAAAACCGACUAAGUGAAUCAUAGAAUGUUAAGCACUACACCAUGGCUUAAGAUUAGAUUCAAGGAGACCUAUUAAGAAUAGAAUUUCUUGUAGGCUUUGUGACCAGGGGGACUAGCGCUGCUUUCCCAAGACAGGUUUUUAUGUGUAUGAUCUUCAGGCUUUGCCUAUCCAGGUUGAGCAGCUGAUGGAAUGGAAUGAUGUUGAGCGGGUGUUCUUUUGACAUUUCAAGAAAUGUAACCUUGAGUAUACAUCUUCAUAUGUAUAUCUCACACGUUUUUCCGCUGCAAAACACUUUGAUUAGAAUAACUCUAUGUUAUGAAGUUGUGACACGUGUUAUUGGAUAACCCACCUUAAUCAGUUCUCCUUCAUGUGUAUGUUUUAUAAGUAUCCAAAUGAUCAUA